GCUGAGAUGCCCGAGUCCGGUCAAAGGGGCUUGUCUGUAGAACAAGUGGCGCAAGCCUACGGGGGUUCAAAUCCCUCUCUCAGCACUA
Molecule: transfer RNA, 88 nt
Filed under: Candidatus Collierbacteria bacterium CG09_land_8_20_14_0_10_46_12
Lineage: Bacteria; Candidatus Collieribacteriota
Description: tRNA-Tyr
Rfam family: tRNA
About the family: Transfer RNA (tRNA) molecules are approximately 80 nucleotides in length. Their secondary structure includes four short double-helical elements and three loops (D, anti-codon, and T loops).
Source: RNAcentral